Molecule: ribosomal RNA, 253 nt
Filed under: uncultured bacterium
Lineage: Bacteria
Description: partial 16S ribosomal RNA
Rfam family: Bacterial small subunit ribosomal RNA
Source: RNAcentral
UACGUAGGGUGCGAGCGUUGUCCGGAAUUAUUGGGCGUAAAGGGCCCGUAGGCGGUUUGUCGCGUCGGGAGUGAAAACUCAGGGCUUAACCCUGAGCCUGCUUCCGAUACGGGCAGACUAGAGGUAUGCAGGGGAGAACGGAAUUCCUGGUGUAGCGGUGAAAUGCGCAGAUAUCAGGAGGAACACCGGUGGCGAAGGCGGUUCUCUGGGCAUUACCUGACGCUGAGGAGCGAAAGUGUGGGGAGCGAACAGG